Molecule: ribosomal RNA, 726 nt
Filed under: Gambierdiscus excentricus
Lineage: Eukaryota; Dinophyceae; Gonyaulacales; Pyrocystaceae
Description: LSU rRNA
Rfam family: Eukaryotic large subunit ribosomal RNA
Source: RNAcentral
AACUGCUGCACAAGGAGUGUUCGAUUGGACUCCUUUUCACACAAUGAACAACCAGCUUAGAACUGAUGCGGGCAAGGGGAAUCCGACUGUUUAAUUGAAACAAAGUAUUGCGAUGCCCUGAAAGGAUGUUGACACAAUGUGAUUUCUGCCCAGUGCUCUGAAUGUCAAAGUGAGGAGAUUCAACUAAGCGCGGGUAAACGGCGGGAGUAACUAUGACUCUCUUAAGGUAGCCAAAUGCCUCGUCAUCCAAUUAGUGACGCGCAUGAAUGGAUUAAUGAGAUUCCUACUGUCCCAAUCUGCUGUCCAGCGAAACCACAGCCAAGGGAACGGGCUUGGGUGAGUCAGCGGGGAAAGAAGACCCUGUUGAGCUUGACUCUAAUCCGACUUUGUGAAAUGACUUAGGAGGAGUAGGAUAUGUGGGAGCUCUGGUGAUCUUGAAAUACCACUACUUUUAAUGUCACUUUACUUACUCUAUCCAACUGUGCCCUGCCUCACAGCAGGUUUUUGCUUUUAAGGUUGCUCUUUUGGCGUGUUGAUUUGCGUAGAAGACGUCGUCCGGUGGGGAGUUUGGCUGGGGCGGCACAUCUGUUAAAGGAUAACGCAGGUGUCCUAAGGUGAGCUCAAUGAGAACAGAAAUCUCAUGCGGAUCAAAAGGGGAAACGCUUGCUUGAUUUUGCUUUUCAGUGUGAAGAUAAACUGUGCAAACAUGGCCUAUUGAUCCUUUAG